GCCGGGGUGGCGGAAUUGGCAGACGCACGGGACUUAAAAUCCCGGGAGCCUCGCGGCUCGUGAGGGUUCGAUUCCCUCCCUCGGCACCA
Molecule: transfer RNA, 89 nt
Filed under: Syntrophaceticus schinkii
Lineage: Bacteria; Bacillati; Bacillota; Clostridia; Thermoanaerobacterales; Thermoanaerobacterales Family III. Incertae Sedis
Also listed under: 8 other names
Description: tRNA-Leu
Rfam family: tRNA
About the family: Transfer RNA (tRNA) molecules are approximately 80 nucleotides in length. Their secondary structure includes four short double-helical elements and three loops (D, anti-codon, and T loops).
Source: RNAcentral